UACGUAGGUGGCGAGCGUUGUCCGGAAUUACUGGGCGUAAAGGGUGUGCAGGCGGAUAUUUAAGUGAGAUGUGAAAGACCCGGGCUUAACCCGGGCAGUGCAUUUCAAACUGGAUAUCUAGAGUGCAGGAGAGGAGAACGGAAUUCCUAGUGUAGCGGUGAAAUGCGUAGAGAUUAGGAAGAACACCAGUGGCGAAGGCGGUUCUCUGGACUGUAACUGACGCUGAGGCACGAAAGCGUGGGUAGCAAACAGGAUUAGAUACCCUGGUAGUCCACGCCGUAAACGAUGAGUACUAGGUGUAGGGGGUAUCGACCCCCCCUGUGCCGCAGUAAACACAAUAAGUACUCCGCCUGGGAAGUACGAUCGCAAGAUUAAA
This 376-nucleotide ribosomal RNA is filed under the name uncultured bacterium. RNAcentral's name for it is "bacterial SSU rRNA". It matches the Rfam family "Bacterial small subunit ribosomal RNA", at positions 524 to 898 of the family's 1533-position model. The record is from RNAcentral.